UCAAUAGCAUAACUCCGAGCCUGAGUUAUCUAAGGCAAAGCUAUGAUUUUCAGGCCGAUAGGGUUUACCGAGAAAUCGGUAAGCCUCCCGUGCGGAAAGGAGUUAGGUAUUAUCCGG
This 117-nucleotide non-coding RNA is filed under the name Desulfotomaculum nigrificans. RNAcentral describes it as "MoCo sequence". It matches the Rfam family "Molybdenum/Tungsten riboswitch aptamer (Moco RNA motif)". Lineage: Bacteria; Bacillati; Bacillota; Clostridia; Eubacteriales; Desulfotomaculaceae. The record is from RNAcentral. RNAcentral also lists the same sequence under 1 other name.